CUCCCACUUUAAUUGACGAAAUCACUGUAACUUCUUCUCCUUCUCUUCUUUUUCAUAACCUUAGAUCCUCCAUUCUUUCUUCUAAAUCCUCCAUUCUUUCUCAUAUCUUUUUUUUUUAAAUGAGAAGUCGAGAACCAUCCACUAUCUUUUAAUUUUUUGUUUUAUUUUAAAUCUAUGUUGAAUAUUAAAAAACAGUUUCUAAUCAGGCCUCAAAAUCGUCUUUCAUGCCCGAUCACGAGUAUAAUGGCUCCAUCAAUUCCCGGUCCAUCCUCAGCGAUUGUUCAAUUCAAAAACUUGGUUUGCAAGCGUGUCUGAAAAAUUAGGAGAUGGAGCAAAGACUUUCCACAACCAGUAACGUAUAGAUGACUUUAUAUUAAUAAUUAUGUAGUAUGCUCACAAAGUUUGUCCGUCUUCCAUCAAUAAUUUGUUUGUUUCA
Molecule: long non-coding RNA, 436 nt
Organism: Arabidopsis lyrata subsp. lyrata
Lineage: Eukaryota; Viridiplantae; Streptophyta; Magnoliopsida; Brassicales; Brassicaceae
Exons: 2
Source: RefSeq, a predicted model, not a curated record